UACGAAGGGGGGCUAGCGUUGCUCGGAAUCACUGGGCGUAAAGGGCGCGUAGGCGGCGUUUUUAAGUCGGGGGUGAAAGCCUGUGGCUCAACCACAGAAUGGCCUUCGAUACUGGGACGCUUGAGUAUGGUAGAGGUUGGUGGAACUGCGAGUGUAGAGGUGAAAUUCGUAGAUAUUCGCAAGAACACCGGUGGCGAAGGCGGCCAACUGGACCAUUACUGACGCUGAGGCACGAAAGCGUGGGGAGCAAACAGG
This 255-nucleotide ribosomal RNA is filed under the name uncultured bacterium. Its description in RNAcentral is "partial 16S ribosomal RNA". It matches the Rfam family "Bacterial small subunit ribosomal RNA", at positions 524 to 776 of the family's 1533-position model. The record is from RNAcentral.